GCAUGGCUGUCGUCAGCUCGUGUCGUGAGAUGUUGGGUUAAGUCCCGCAACGAGCGCAACCCUCGCCCUUAGUUGCCAGCAUUUAGUUGGGCACUCUAAGGGGACUGCCGGUGAUAAGCCGAGAGGAAGGUGGGGAUGACGUCAAGUCYUCAUGGCCUUACGGGCUGGGCUACACACGUGCUACAAUGGUGGUGACAGUGGGCAGCGAGCACGCGAGUGUGAGCUAAUCUCCAAAAGCCAUCUCAGUUCGGAUUGCACUCUGCAACUCGAGUGCAUGAAGUUGGAAUCGCUAGUAAUCGCGGAUCAG
This 307-nucleotide ribosomal RNA is filed under the name Ochrobactrum sp. VA16. RNAcentral describes it as "bacterial SSU rRNA". It matches the Rfam family "Bacterial small subunit ribosomal RNA", at positions 1043 to 1352 of the family's 1533-position model. Lineage: Bacteria; Pseudomonadati; Pseudomonadota; Alphaproteobacteria; Hyphomicrobiales; Brucellaceae. The record is from RNAcentral.